AGCAUUUACGAAGUUAGCCGAAUGGCGUGGGAAAGCCAUCCGAAGAGUGUGAGAGACACGUAGGCGAAAACGAAGUAGAGCGAGCAGGAUCCGGAGUACCGCGGGACACGAGGAAUCCCGUGGGAAGCAGGGGGGACCACCCUCCAAGCCUAAAUAUUACUCGGUGACCGAUAGAGAAGUAGUACUGUGAAGGAAAGGUGAAAAGGACCCCGGGAGGGGAGUGAAAAAGAACCUGAAACCCUGUGCUUACAAGCACACAGAGCACGUCAAAGUGUGAUGUGGUACUUUUUGUAGAACGGUCCGGCGAGCGAAUGUAUGCAGCGAGGUUAAGCAAUUAAGUUGUGGAGCCGAAGCGAGAGCGAGUGUUAAUAGUGCGAAAAGUUGCAUGCAUUGAGCCCGAAACCAGGUGACCUAACCAUGAACAGGCUGAAGUUGAGGUAAAGCUCAAUGGAGGGCCGAACACACGUCCGUUGAAAAGGCCGGUGAUGAUUUGUGGUUAGCGGAGAAAUUCCAAUCGAACCUGGAGAUAGCUGGUUCUCUCCGAAAUAGUUUUAGGACUAGCCUCAUAUUAGAUUCACGGGGGUAAAGCACUGAAUGGGCUAGGGGCCGAGAGGUUACUGAACCCUAUCAAACUAAGAAUACCGAGGAAUUGAUGUAUGGGAGUCAGACUAUGUGAGAUAAGUUUCAUAGUCAAAAGGGAAACAGCCCAGAUCUACAGCUAAGGUCCCAAAGCAGGUUUAAGUGGAAAAGGAUGUGAAGUUGCGAAGACAGCCAGGAUGUUGGCUUAGAAGCAGCCACUCAUUCAAAGAGUGCGUAAUAGCUCACUGGUCGAGUGACUUUGCGCCGAAAAUUUAACGGGGCUAAAAACCUGCACCGAAGCUUAGGCAUUGUGUAAUGCAAUGGGUAGGAGAGCGUUGUAUAUGGGGUGAAGCAGCAGCGGAAGCGGCUGUGGACUGUAUAGAAGUGAGAAUGCCGGAAUGAGUAGCGCGAUUUAUGUGAGAAUCAUAAAGGCCGAAAACCUAAGGUUUUUGGAGGAAGGUUCGUCCGCUCCAAGUUAGCCGGGAGCUAAGGUGAGGCUGAAAAGCGUAGCCGAUGCACAUACGGUAGAGAUUCCGUAGCUAACGAAAUUUAAGCGUGGGGACACUUUCGAAGGUUGUAUGCCGGUGGAUGGAAAGCCGGUCGAAAGGGAGACGAGUGAGUCGAAGAUACAAUUGGAGAGAGGCGAGAAAAGCCACGAGGGAUAAUAAGUUACCCGUACCGCAAACCGACACAGGUAGGAAGGAAGAGGAUUCUAAGGCCAACGGGAGAAGGGUUGUUAAGGAACUCGGCAAAAUGUCCCCGUAACUUCGGGAGAAGGGGAGCUGCAGAGAUGCAGUCGCAGAGAAGAGGUCCAGGCAACUGUUUAGCAAAAACACAGGUCUGUGCUAAAUCGAAAGAUGACGUAUACGGGCUGACGCCUGCCCGGUGCCGGAAGGUUAAGGGAAAUUGUGAGAGCAAUGAACCGAAGCCCCGGUAAACGGCGGCCGUAACUAUAACGGUCCUAAGGUAGCGAAAUUCCUUGUCAGGUAAGUUCUGACCCGCACGAAAGGCGUAAUGAUCUGGACGCUGUCUCGACAGCCCGCCCGGCGAAAUUGUAGUACCGGUGAAGAUGCCGGUUACCCGCGACAAGACGGAAAGACCCCAUGGAGCUUUACUGUAGUCUAAUAUUGGGUUUCGAUAUUACAUGUACAGGAUAGGUAGGAGACUGGGAAGCAUGAGCGUCAGCUUGUGUGGAGUCGAUGUUGGGAUACUACUCUUGUGAUAUUGGAAUUCUAACCUGCGGCUUUGAAGCAAGUCGGGGGACAUUGUUAGAUGGGCAGUUUGACUGGGGCGGUCGCCUCCGAAAGAGUAACGGAGGCGUUCAAAGGUUAGCUCAGGAUGGACGGAAACCAUCUUAAAGAGUGCAAACGCAGAAGCUAGCCUGACUGUGAGACUGACAGGUCGAACAGAGACGAAAGUCGGAGUUAGUGAUCCGGUGGUAUGUGAGUG
This 2028-nucleotide ribosomal RNA is filed under the name human gut metagenome. RNAcentral describes it as "bacterial LSU rRNA". It matches the Rfam family "Bacterial large subunit ribosomal RNA", at positions 316 to 2435 of the family's 2925-position model. The record is from RNAcentral.